Molecule: long non-coding RNA, 818 nt
Organism: Epinephelus fuscoguttatus (brown-marbled grouper)
Lineage: Eukaryota; Metazoa; Chordata; Actinopteri; Perciformes; Serranidae
Exons: 5
Source: RefSeq, a predicted model, not a curated record
CUGUGGCAGCUUCAGGUGGCCAGUAUUGACUUUUACGACCGGCCUAUAGGUACAUGAACUUCUCAGUAUACUUCACAAUUCAUUUUAACAGUUAAGUUAAAGCCAGGAUGCAACGGUUACUAACAUUUAACUCGAUAAGGAAGCCACUUAAAGUCGUGACUAGAGACAGAGCGGCAGGUUAGUAACUUGAACGGACUUGGAGCACGGGAGUGAGAUUAGCUGGCUGGUUGUCCGAGGGUGCGGCUGACCUGGUCCAGAUCCGGGCCACCUGUGUGGGCUAGCCUGCCCUCCCGUCUGCCUCCUGUACUGUCUCCAGGAAGUGGUCACCAGGCUGCUCAUUGCCACUUUUUCCCCUCCACUUCAACUUCCAAGAGUGCAGGACAAUCCCUGGUCCCUGAGCACGCUGUCGUUUCCCCUCAGGCCCAUUAUCAGAUCCCCUCCGUAGGCUCCCAGCAGCUGCAGUUAUUGUGGAAGACUCGACUUUUAUAGCCCAUGAUGUCUGUGACAACACCAGCUUUUAUGAGUAAUGAAACACUACCUUCAUGUACCGUGUAGGCUUCACCAGGAGGUGGUUGGGGAAAAUGGCAGCAAGGUCCAGGACCUUGGCACCAGAUCCUCAGGCGACACACUUGGGGUCUGCAGGAAACAUCCGAAUGGGAGGAACCCAAAUCGAGGAGCUUAAAUGGCCAUAAAGCUGUGUGGGCUGUCAGUAAUGGAACCUAAGCUCUUCGCAGAGCCACACACCACAUUUACAGGUUAUGACCGGAGUCUGCAGGAGAGGCAGAUUGAAAAUUGAGGGAGAGGAGUGAUUUUGGUUG